RNAcentral lists this unclassified non-coding RNA (335 nucleotides) under soil metagenome. RNAcentral's name for it is "partial contains 5.8S ribosomal RNA, internal transcribed spacer 2, and large subunit ribosomal RNA". The stretch from base 1 to 120 matches the Rfam family "5.8S ribosomal RNA", at positions 35 to 154 of the family's 154-position model. The record is from RNAcentral.
GAUGAAGAACGCAGCGAACUGCGAUAAGUAAUGUGAAUUGCAGAAUUCAGUGAAUCAUCGAGUCUUUGAACGCACAUUGCGCCCGCCAGUAUUCUGGCGGGCAUGCCUGUUCGAGCGUCAUUUCAACCAUCAAGCCCCCGGCUUGUGUUGGGGACCUGCGGCUGCCGCAGGCCCUGAAAACCAGUGGCGGGCUCGCUAGUCACUCCGAGCGUAGUAAUACAUCUCGCUCAGGGCGUGCUGCGGGUUCCGGCCGUUAAAAAGCCUUAUUUACCCAAGGUUGACCUCGGAUCAGGUAGGAAGACCCGCUGAACUUAAGCAUAUCAAUAAGCGGAGGA